GGCCUUGACAUACUAAGAACUUUCCAGAGAUGGAUUGGUGCCUUCGGGAACUUAGAUACAGGUGCUGCAUGGCUGUCGUCAGCUCGUGUCGUGAGAUGUUGGGUUAAGUCCCGNAACGAGCGCAACCUUUUCCUUAUUUGCCAGCGGGUCAUGCCGGGAACUUUAAGGAUACUGCCAGUGACAAACUGGAGGAAGGCGGGGACGACGUCAAGUCAUCAUGGCCCUUACGGCCAGGGCUACACACGUGCUACAAUGGUCGGUACAAAGGGUUGCUACCUCGCGAGAGGAUGCUAAUCUCAAAAAGCCGAUCGUAGUCCGGAUCGCAGUCUGCAACUCGACUGCGUGAAGUCGGAAUCGCUAGUAAUCGCGGAUCAGAAUGCCGCGGUGAAUACGUUCCCGGGCCUUGUACACACCGCCCGUCACACCAUGGGAGUUUGUUGCACCAGAAGUAGGUAGUCUAACCGCAAGGAGGACGCUUACCACGGUGUGGCCGAUGACUGGGGUGAAGUCGUAACAAGGUAGGCGUAGAUGA
This 532-nucleotide ribosomal RNA is filed under the name uncultured bacterium. RNAcentral describes it as "bacterial SSU rRNA". It matches the Rfam family "Bacterial small subunit ribosomal RNA", at positions 977 to 1509 of the family's 1533-position model. The record is from RNAcentral.